CCUACGGGCGGCAGCAGUGGGGAAUAUUGCACAAUGGGGGAAACCCUGAUGCAGCGACGCCGCGUGAGCGAAGAAGUAUCUCGGUAUGGAAAGCUCUAUCAGCAGGGAAGAAAAUGACGGUAACUGACUAAGAAGCCCCGGCUAACUACGUGCCAGCAGCCGCGGUAAUACGUAGGGGGCAAGCGUUAUCCGGCUGUACUAGGGGUAAAGGGAGCGCCGGCGGGGCGGGAAGUCUGAUGUGAAAGCCCGGUGCUCAACCCCGGGACUGCAUUGGAGACGGUCGUGCUUGAGUGUCGGAGGGGCAAGUGGAAUGCCUAGUGUAGCGGUGAAAUGCGUAGAUAUUAGGAGGAACACCAGUUGCGAAGGCGGCUUGCUGGACGACAACUGACGCUGAGGCUCGAAAGAGUGGGGAGCAAACAGGAUUAGAUACCCCGGUAGUC
Molecule: ribosomal RNA, 440 nt
Filed under: uncultured bacterium
Lineage: Bacteria
Description: partial 16S ribosomal RNA
Rfam family: Bacterial small subunit ribosomal RNA
Source: RNAcentral